ACCGGCGGACGGGUGCGUAACACGUAUGCAACUUGCCUUGUACUCGGGGAUAACAUUAGGAAACUAGUGCUAAUAUCCGAUGGUCUUAUAGGUCGGCAUCGGUUUAUAAGUAAAGGUAACGGUACAAGAUGGGCAUGCGCAUGAUUAGCUGGUUGGGGAGGUAACGGCUCACCAAGGCGACGAUCAUUAGGGGUUCUGAGAGGAAGGUCCCCCACACCGGCACUGAGAUACGGGCCGGACUCCUACGGGAGGCAGCAGUAGGGAAUCUUGGUCAAUGGGCGGAAGCCUGAACCAGCCACGCCGCGUGCAGGAAGAAGGUCCUUAGGAUUGUAAACUGCUUUUAACAGGGGGUAAAAAGGCUCUGCGGAGCAAAUUGAAAGUACCUGUGGAAUAAGCACCGGCUAACUACGUGCCAGCAGCCGCGGUAAUACGUAGGGUGCAAGCGUUGUCCGGAAUUACUGGGUUUAAAGGGUGCGUAGGCGGGUCUAUAAGUCAGCGGUAAAAUAUUCAGGCUCAACUUGGGUUGUGCCGUUGAUACUGUAGGUCUUGAGAAAAGAUAACGAAGCCGGAAUUCAUGGUGUAGCGGUGAAAUGCAUAGAUACCAUGAGGAACACCGAUAGCGUAGGCAGGUUUCGGGUCUUUAUCUGACGCUGAUGCACGACAGCAUGGGGAUCAAACAGGAUUAGAUACCCUGGUAGUC
This 700-nucleotide ribosomal RNA is filed under the name uncultured bacterium. RNAcentral's name for it is "bacterial SSU rRNA". It matches the Rfam family "Bacterial small subunit ribosomal RNA", at positions 94 to 795 of the family's 1533-position model. The record is from RNAcentral.